GAGGGUAUAGCUCAGUGACAGAGCACAUGCUUAGCGUGCAUGAGGUCCCGGGUUCAAUUCCCAGUACUUUAA
This 72-nucleotide transfer RNA is filed under the name Camelus bactrianus (Bactrian camel). It matches the Rfam family "tRNA". From Rfam's summary of the family: Transfer RNA (tRNA) molecules are approximately 80 nucleotides in length. Their secondary structure includes four short double-helical elements and three loops (D, anti-codon, and T loops). Lineage: Eukaryota; Metazoa; Chordata; Mammalia; Artiodactyla; Camelidae. RNAcentral also lists the same sequence under 3 other names. The record is from Rfam by way of RNAcentral.